This 816-nucleotide ribosomal RNA is filed under the name uncultured bacterium. RNAcentral describes it as "bacterial SSU rRNA". It matches the Rfam family "Bacterial small subunit ribosomal RNA", at positions 8 to 820 of the family's 1533-position model. The record is from RNAcentral.
AGAGUUUGAUCAUGGCUCAGGAUGAACGCUAGCGGCAGGCUUAACACAUGCAAGUCGAGGGGUAACAGGGGUGCUUGCACUCGCUGACGACCGGCGCACGGGUGAGUAACGCGUAUGCAACCUACCCAUAACUGGGGGAUAGCUUCCGGAAACGGAAAUUAAUACCCCAUAGUAUUAUAAUACCGCAUGGUAUAAUAAUUAAAGUUCCGACGGUUAUGGAUGGGCAUGCGUGCCAUUAGCUAGUUGGUGAGGUAACAGCUCACCAAGGCUACGAUGGCUAGGGGGUCUUAAAGGAUGGUCCCCCACACUGGUACUGAGACACGGACCAGACUCCUACGGGAGGCAGCAGUGAGGAAUAUUGGUCAAUGGGCGCAAGCCUGAACCAGCCAUGCCGCGUGCAGGAAGACAGCCCUAUGGGUUGUAAACUGCUUUUAUAUGGGAAGAAAACGUUCUACGUGUAGGGCAUUGACGGUACCAUAAGAAUAAGCAUCGGCUAACUCCGUGCCAGCAGCCGCGGUAAUACGGAGGAUGCAAGCGUUAUCCGGAUUUAUUAGGUUUAAAGGGUGUGUAGGCGGGACUCUAAGUCAGUGGUGAAAUCUUUCGGCUCAACCGGAAAACUGCCAUUGAUACUGGAGUUCUUGAGUAUAGUUGANGUAGGCGGAAUGUGUAAUGUAGCGGUGAAAUGCUUAGAUAUUACACAGAACACCGAUUNCGAAGGCAGCUUACAAGCUAUUACUGACGCUGAUGCACGAAAGCGUGGGUAGCGAACAGGAUUAGAUACCCUGNNAGUCCACGCCGUAAACGANGUUCACUCGC